Long non-coding RNA from Melospiza melodia melodia, 401 nucleotides. RefSeq lists it as uncharacterized. NCBI's taxonomy places the organism in Eukaryota, Metazoa, Chordata, Aves, Passeriformes, Passerellidae. The transcript has 3 exons. The record is from RefSeq and is a predicted model, not a curated record.
UCAAAGACAAACCUCUGUUAAUAGAUGCCAAAUAAAAGAGGGAGCGAGCUGCAGAGGGCGUCGUCCUCCAGGAUUUCAGCCAUUCCAGCGACUCCCUUGCUGAGGUGGGUGAUGCAGGUGCUGAACUUGGCUCAAACACCAGCAGUGCCAUUCCUGUGGAUUUCAAGAACAGAGGCAUCCCUUUUGGAAAGGAAGAAUUUGAUCUGUCACCAACUUGUCAUCCACAGAUAAAAGCCCCACAAACCCAAACAAACAAACAAAAAACCCGCCAAAAUUUUAAAUUUUAAAAUUUAAAAAAAACUUCUGGUGCCUGUACAAAUACCCUCUUCAGCCUUCUGGGAGAAAAAUGGGAAAGCUCAGUCCCUGCAUGUUUGAGCUGCAUUGGAUAAAACACAGUUUAA